Molecule: ribosomal RNA, 468 nt
Filed under: uncultured bacterium
Lineage: Bacteria
Description: partial 16S ribosomal RNA
Rfam family: Bacterial small subunit ribosomal RNA
Source: RNAcentral
GACGAACGCUGGCGGCGUGCUUAACACAUGCAAGUCGAACGGAAAGGCCCUGCUUUUGUGGGUUGCUCGAGUGGCGAACGGGUGAGUAACACGUGAGUAACCUGCCCUUGACUUUGGGAUAACUUCAGGAAACUGGGGCUAAUACCGGAUAGGAGCUCCUGCUGCAUGGGGGGGGUGGGAAAGUUUCGGCGGUUGGGGAUGGACUCGCGGCUUAUCAGCUUGUUGGUGGGGUAGUGGCUUACCAAGGCUUUGACGGGUAGCCGGCCUGGGAGGGUGACCGGCCACAUUGGGACGGAGAUGCGGCCCAGACUCCUACGGGAGGCAGGAGUGGGGAAGAGUGCACAAUGGGCGGAAGCCUGAUGCAGCAACGCCGCGUGCGGGAUGACGGCCUUCGGGUUGUAAACCGCUUUCGCCUGGGACGAAGCGUGAGUGACGGUAAUGGGUAAAGAAGCACCGGCUAACUACGUG